AGUAUUAGUUAUGUUCUUUAAAUUUAAAAAAUUUGGCGGUAUUUUAGUCUUUUCAGAGGAAUCUGUUCUAUUAUUGAUAUUCCACGAUUAAUUGUACUUAUUUUAUGGUUUGUAUAUCAUCGUAGUUUGAGUGUUUUAGUAGAAUUUUUAAUAUUCAAGAUUUAUAAUAAUAAAAAAAAUCAGAUCAAGGUGCAGCUUAUAAAUAAGAAGAAAUGGGUUACAAUAAAUUUAUUUAUAUGGUUAGGGUAUUUAACAUUAUUCUAUAAAGAGGAUUUGAAUGUAAUAUAGUUUAGUUAAAUUAUAUGAUUAUAGCUCUAAGAUAUGUACAUAUCGCCCGUCGCUCCCACUUUAAGGUGGGAUAAGUCGUAACAAAGUAGGGGUACUGGAAAGUGUUCCUAGAUUGACAAAUUAGAGCUUGUUAUAAAGUAUUUUAUUUACAUUAAAAAGUUAGUUGUGUGAAUCAGCUUAGUUUGAUAAUUUUUAAAUUAUUAAUUUUUAGUAAAGAAAAUAUUUUUUUUAUUUAGUAGGAGGUUUGAAUAAUAAGUGUUAAUGAUAGUUAAUUAGUAUAGUGUUAGAUUAUUGAAAUAUAUUAAAUAAUAAUUGUUUAAAAAAAGGGUUAGUAUUUUGUACCUUGUGUAUCAGGGUUUAUUAAAAAUAUCUUAUUUAUUUAAUAUUCUCGAAUUCUAUAAGAGCUAAUAAUUUAUAUAUUUAAUUGUGACAUAAAUUUUUAUAAUAAGUUAUUAGAAAUGAAACGUUAGUCGUUUUGGAAGAUAUCUAGUUUUUUAAGAAAUAAAUUUAAUUUAAUUGUUAAUAUAGGUAGUUUUAAUUUAUUAAGACUAUAUUAUUAAUAGUAAAUGAUUUAAGGGAUAAGCUUUAAAUCAUAGCAUUAAAAAUAAUUUUUAUAUUAAAAGUAAUAGGGUUAGAAAUUUUUAUUUUUUAGUUUGUUAUAAUUAAUUUUUAUUUUAAUAUAAUUUAUAUAGAUUUUAAUUGUUUUAUUAAAAUUAUUUAUUUAAUAUUAUCAUAUAUGUAAUAAUGAUAAAAUUAGUAUAAUAUUAUAUGUGUGUGUAAUCUAAAAAUUAAGGUUAAAUUAAGGAACUCGGCAAAUAAGAUUUUCGCCUGUUUAUUAAAAACAUGGCUUUUUGAUUAUAAUUUAAGGUUUGACCUGCCCACUGAGGAUUUAAAUGGCCGCGGUAUUUUGACCGUGCAAAGGUAGCAUAAUAAUUAGUUUUUUAAUUGAAAGCUGGAAUGAAUGGUUGGACGAGAAAUCUACUGUCUUAAUUUAAUUUAUAUUAGAAUUUUAUUUUUAAGUUAAAAAGCUUAAGUAAUUUUAAAAGACGAGAAGACCCUGUAGAGUUUAAUAUUAGUUAGUAUUAUAUUUAUUUAGAGGAUUUUAAUAAUAAUAAUAAUAAAUAUU
Molecule: ribosomal RNA, 1414 nt
Filed under: Telura sp. NLG-2014
Lineage: Eukaryota; Metazoa; Arthropoda; Insecta; Coleoptera; Scarabaeidae
Description: partial 16S ribosomal RNA
Source: RNAcentral